This 1294-nucleotide ribosomal RNA is filed under the name uncultured bacterium. Its description in RNAcentral is "bacterial SSU rRNA". It matches the Rfam family "Bacterial small subunit ribosomal RNA", at positions 28 to 1381 of the family's 1533-position model. The record is from RNAcentral.
AGUGAACGCUAGCGGUGCGCCUAACACAUGCAAGUCGAGUGGGUUUAGACCCACGGCGAACGGCUGAGUAACACGUUGGUACCUGCCCCGAACUCAGGGAUAACCCGCCGAAAGGCGGGCUAAUACCGGAUAGUCCCGAAAGGGUAAAGAUUUUUCGGUUCGGGAGGGGCCUGCGGCCUAUCAGGUAGUUGGUGAGGUAAUGGCUCACCAAGCCUAUGACGGGUAACUGGUCUGAGAGGACGACCAGUCAGAAUGGGACUGAGACACGGCCCAUACUCCUACGGGAGGCAGCAGUGAGGAAUCUUCCGCAAUGGGGGCAACCCUGACGGAGCGACACCGCGUGAAGGAUGAAGAUAGUUUCUAUCGUAAACUUCUGUUUUGAGGGACGAAAUUUUUGACGGUACCUCAAGAGAAAGCACCGGCUAAUUCUGUGCCAGCAGCCGCGGUAAGACAGAAGGUGCAAGCGUUACUCGGAAUUACUGGGCGUAAAGCGUCCGCAGGUGUUCUUACAGGUCUGGCGUAAAAUCACGGAGCUCAACUCCGUGCUCGUGCCGGAAACCAUAAGAAUUGAGUCAUUCAGAGGCAUCUGGAAUGUCGUGUGUAGGGGUAAAAUCCGUAGAUCCACGAUGGAACGCCAAAAGCGAAGGCAGGAUGCUGGGAAUGUACUGACACUCAGGGACGAAAGCGUGGGGAGCAAACCGGAUUAGAUACCCGGGUAGUCCACGCCCUAAACGAUGUGUGCUCGGUGUUGGAACUUCAAUCUGUUCCAGUGCCUUAGCUAACGCGGUAAGCACACCGCCUGGGAAGUACGGCCGCAAGGUUAAAACUCAAAGGAAUAGACGGGGACCCACACAAGCGGUGGAGCAUGGGGUUUAAUUCGAUGAUAACCGAAGCACCUCACCCAGGCUUGACAUCUUAAGAAUUCCCGAGAAAUCGGGGAGUGCCGCAAGGAACUUAAAGACAGGCGAUGCACGGUCGUCGUCAGCUCGUGCCUUGAGGUGUACUGUUAAGUCAGCAAACGAGCGCAACCCUCAUCCUAUGUUGUUAUUUCAUGGGAGACUGCCGCCUCCAAGGCGGAGGAAGGUGAGGAUGACGUCAGAUCAGCGUGUCCCUUAUGCCUGGGGCCACACCCGUGCUACAAUGGUCGGUACAAAGGGAAGCCAACCCGCGAGGGGGAGCCAAUCCCAUCAAAACCGAUCUCAGUUCGGAUUGAAGUCUGCAACUCGACUUCAUGAAGUUGGAAUCGCUAGUAACCGUGAAUCAGCUAUGUCACGGUGAAUAUGUUCCUGGGUCU